This is a long non-coding RNA of Orcinus orca (killer whale), 4715 nucleotides long. RefSeq lists it as uncharacterized. The record is from RefSeq and is a predicted model, not a curated record. NCBI's taxonomy places the organism in Eukaryota, Metazoa, Chordata, Mammalia, Artiodactyla, Delphinidae. The transcript has 4 exons.
UAUCUGCUUACAAGCUCAUAGGUCCUCUACCUUGGCUGUUCGUCAGCCCCCCAGGCCAGACCUCAUAGUCUCUGAAAAAUUUAAAAGCUUUCCAGGUGACACACAGCCCCCAAGUUUGAAGACUGUUACAUUUGAUGGAAUUUUCAGACAAAAUGUGUGGCAUAAAUUGCAAAACAAGGGUAGGGUUGUUUUUUCUGUUUUGUUUUCCCAUAUUUCAGUUUCAUUAUAAAUAUGUCUCAUUCAGUACAUAAAAUUUUGGGAGAAAAAAACCAUAUACAACCCCAAAAUAAGGAGAAAACCACUGGUACCAUUUAAUCGUAUUUUCUACUAAUGUUUCCUAUCCAUAUAUUUUAUAUAACUAAGGCCCCAGUGUAAAUACGCAAAGACUAUUUGGUUUUAUUUUGUACUACUUGACACUGUAAGGAAGCAUUUUCCGGGCAAGGCAGGCAGUAUGGUUAUCAGAAAAUUAGAAGUAAAAAUCCUCCCAUCACUUUAAGGUCCAUGCCUCCCACCCACCUUAGCCUCACUAGGUCAAAACAAGAACUCGCCACAGUUAAAACACAGAAACAGGUAGUCAAGACUUGACUGGUUUUACCUCAGAGCCUACCGGAUAAGGGCUCUUUUAAUAACAAAGCUUCCAUUUGGGGAUACUGAAUUGCCUUCCCCGUCAGAGUCUAUGGGCCACUUGCUUUGAUGUGCAGUUCCCUUUAAACCUUGCUUGUUAGGCACCUGGAAAUUCCUGAGACGAUCUUUAAGUCAACAAUACAGAUUUCUGAGCCUUGACCAGACCUGAUGUCCCCUCCCUGCCUCCCCGAAGCCUCUUCCGAAGGCAGUCUGCCUGGGGUGAUAAUGGGAUCCCAGCCCCAGAGGGAGCGCCCAUCCCGACUUACCACCACCCAAGUGCCAGAAGGGAGCUGCCAGCUGGAGGUGGCUUUUCCUGCCCUUGAGUGAAGGUGUUCGUUGACCCCCUCAGACUUCUGACAGCUCCCUCAAAAACUGCUUGCCAAGGCCAGGAGUCCUUGUCAAUGGGCACCUGUCCUCUCUGGAAAUCUGUAAAUUCUCUUUGAAUAGUUUAUAUUUCAAUUAGGUUACUGUGCAUAAUUACGGAGGGUGACUCACGGAGAAAUGAAACAGCUUAGAGAAAUGAUCACAUCUAUACUAUAUUUAUAUGCACACACGUAGACUGUCCAUAAAGUACAAGUGUAGAGAUUAUGUGUACGUGAAAACAUAUUAUAAAGGAGAGCGAGCCAGACUUCAUUCUAGAUGACAAUCACCCCACCUGUCCCUUAUGAUCCAUGGGCAGGUGUGGAAACGAUAGGGCCUCCCUCUGGAGCCCCACCAGACAGUGCAGAUCGUUUUCAACUUACAGUGGGGUUACCUCCUGAUACACCUAUCAUAAGUUGAAAAUACCAUAAGUUGAAAAUGCAUUUAAUACACCUAACCCUCAGAACGUCAUAGCUUUGCCUAGCCUACAUUCAACAUGCUCAGAACACUUACAUUAGCUUACUGUUGGGCAAAAUCAUCUAACACAAAGCCUACUUUAUAAUAAAGUGUUGAAUAUCUCAUGUCAUUUAUUGAAUACUGUACUGAAAGUGGAAAACAGGAUGGUUGUCUGGGUCCAGAAUGACUGUCAGUGUAUUGACUGUUUACCCUCACGAUCGCAGGGCUGACCCGAAGCUGAGACUCGCUGCCACUGCCCAGUGUCACCGGAGAGCAUGCCGCCAGCCCAGGAAAAGAUUAAACUUCAAAAUCCAAGUACGGUUUCUGCUCACUGCCUAUCGCUUUCACGCCAUCCUAAAGUCGAAAAAUUUGCAAAGCAAGGAAGAGUGGCGUUGGCCCAGUAGUCCAGAAGCUCUUAUCCAAGAAAUGAGUGAAGGGAGGUUCUAAGACCCUCCUUGUUUUACCUCUGAUCCCAGAGGCUUGAACCCCCAAAGGUCAAGAUGGUGGCCUCCCUUAGAGCCGUGAAGGAUGGGCCCAGAGCAAACUAAGCUGGGCCUGGAUGCAGAGAAAUACUUUUUACAUGAGAAUCUAAUCUGCUGGAUAUUUAUUGAAGAGAUUUCUAGAAGCAAAGAACAAGCUCUUAUGAGGAAACUCUCACCAUGGAAGCCUGUUCGGGUGGUAACAGACAUCAGCCGCCCCCCGGGAGGGGUCAGUCUUUACCUGGAUAACCCGGAGCAUGGCAGGGGAGGGCAAUGAAAGGAGGAAGAAGGAAAAUUUGUUUCCAUUAAAAGCCAGAAGAACCUAGAGGGGCAGAGGAAAAUUUCUUACUCCCCAGCAAUUGCAGUUUGGGGUCUGCAGCCAUGGUGAGCCAGGGGCAAGGGAAGGAGAUUGCUUUUAUGGGGCAGGGAGGAGAGAAGUUGGGGAGCUACAGUAAACAAAGAGUCUAUGGCUUUUCAUUGGCUGAGUGCUAACCAGGAAAGGAGUCUUUCUUCUUCCUGGUGGGCUCUGCUGUCAUCACAGGCCCUGAGAUCUCCCCUUUCUGGUCUCCCAACUCCAUUUAAAAUAAAUUGAGGGGGACUUCCCUGGCGGUUCAGUGGUUAAGACUCCAAGCUUCCACUGCAGGGGGCACGGGUUAGCUCCCUGGUCCGGGAACUAUGAUCCCACAUGGCACACAGUGCCGCCAAAAAAAAAGGAAAUAAAAGAAAUUGAGGUUUCUGUUUAUUAAUUUUUACAACAUCGACACACACAGACACACUCAGACACACAUAUAGACACUCUCAGACACACAUAUAGACACACACAGAGACACACACACACAGCCCAUACUGCACCAUACUGUAAGACUGGGCUAAAUCCCUUCCCCGGGCUCUCCUAGCACCCAACCUCUGUCACUGAACUGACCAGCUUUUACUGACAAAUCUGUCCUCCUAUCUCGAUGAUAAACCCUUCCGGGUCAAAGACCAUGUCCUUCGCAACUUUAGCACCCUGCUUUCCCCACGCUCUAUCUGGUUCAGAGUGGGCCGUCAAUAAAGCUUUGCUAACUGAACCCAACCAUAAUUCAAGGCAGGCUGGAGGGACUGGGAAACGGAAUGGCUUCCAGGGUGACCGAAUGUAAAAUUGAUUCCCCUCUCCGAAUCCCUGGGCAGACUGCAACCUUUCACAGCAAUGGACAGUAUCACAUACCCUCACCCUUCAAGUCUUAUCCUUGCCCCUUAAAGCACACAUAAAAAUUGGACUCCUUGGGCUUCCCUGGUGGCGCAGUGGUUGAGAGUCCGCCUACCGUUGCAGGGGACACGGGUUCGUGCCCCAGUCCGGGAAGAUCCCGCGUGCCGCGGAGCGGCUGGGCCUGUGGGCCGUGGCCGCUGAGCCUGCGCGUCCGGAGCCUGUGCUCCGCGACGGGAGAGGCCGCAGCAGUGAGAGGCCCACGUGCCGGAAAAAAAAAAAAAAAAAAAAAAAUUGGACUCCUAAAACUCAGCCAUUCGCUGUUGAAUUCAAGGCCUUUCCCCAAUUUGAGAUAUUCCACAGAAGAAAUUGAGCCAUUUCUAGGUAGCCGAAAGGAAACAGAAAAGAGACUGACUUAAAGCUUCAUUCAGCUCUCACGUCGUUUCCUAUUCAUCUCCUACAUUAAAACCUUUUGAACGCGGAAGCUACAUCUGAUUACUCUUCCUGUUUCCCACAGCUCCUAGCAGGAUGCUUUGGAUAUGAAUGGCAAAGCACUGGAGGAGAAGACAGGAUAGGAUGGACGUGGGCCCUUUGGAUUUGCCAGAGGAAAAAAAUAACGUGUAACUUGGAAAUGUAAUAAAACCUUCAAAAGUACGUACCACAACCUAUGUCCAUUGCAGGAACUCGGCUGUGUUUCUAUCCAUUCCACGCAGUUUAUGCACCUGAGUCGUCUGCUCACCUGUGUCACAUCACGGCCACGAGCACAGGCUUUGGGACCACACAGCUCUGGGCGGAAUCCCAGUUCUGUCACCCACCAGCUCUCCACCCUGGGGCUCAGGGUCCUCACCUGUAAAGAGACGAUGACACACCUCACAGGGAGGGUCCAGCACUCAGCUCGGUGCCAGGCACAUAGGAUGUGCUCUAUAAACAGUCGCUAUUUGAUUGUUGUGGUUGUUAUUGUUAUGUGGGUCCUCAGUAUAUUUGAAAUGAGAGCAGGGAUUCUAAAUUAGAGCAGGACACUAUUCAAAUAUUGGUAGAGGUUUGGCAGUUUGGAGAGGUAUAAUGGGAGAGAUCACACCUGAAUAUAUGUAGAGACAAACAACAAAUUAGUUAAGAAACUUGUUAAAACCUAAGAUCGGCACUAAGCAGGGUGCUUCCUUGGCAAAACAGGGCAGGUGGGGAGGAGGGGGGUCCAGCUCGGCCCGCCACGUGGAAAAGGACAGGGAAGGCAUGUCCGGCCACUGACAGAGUCUCGGGUCUCAAACCUCAUUUAGGUCCCUGGUGGCAGCAAGUUCCCACCUGGAGAGGGGGAAGCAGCCCAGGAAAUCCAGGGAUCAGGCAGUCCUGAGUCUGGAUCUUAGAUGCCCUGUCCAGAAUUACAACUGGAGCCACACAGAUGCCCUGUCCAGUGGUGAUGAAGCCCUGGGCUUCUCUGAGGCUCUGGACACCCCAUGGGAUUGGCCGCCAAGCACAGCUGGGACCACGAUGUGAGCCCAGGGGUCAGCUGGGGGUCCAGGGUCCCUAAACCCACAGGUAUGGGGGGUGGUGCUUAAACUCUGUAAUCCUUUCCUGCCUGAGCGCCAAAGGAACCUGCACUGAGGGGUGAGCAUCAG